Non-coding RNA from Ixodes scapularis (black-legged tick), 73 nucleotides. NCBI's taxonomy places the organism in Eukaryota, Metazoa, Arthropoda, Arachnida, Ixodida, Ixodidae. The record is from Rfam.
CCCUGGUUAGCGCAAUUGGUAGAGCGCUCCACCUAUAAUGGAGAGGUUCCGGGUUUGAUACCCGGACCAGGCG